RNAcentral lists this ribosomal RNA (1451 nucleotides) under metagenome. Its description in RNAcentral is "bacterial SSU rRNA". It matches the Rfam family "Bacterial small subunit ribosomal RNA". The record is from RNAcentral.
AGAGUUUGAUCCUGGCUCAGAACGAACGCUGGCGGCGUGGCUAAAACAUGCAAGUCGCACGAGAAAGGCCCGCAAGGGCCGAGUACAGUGGCGAAAGGGUGAGGAAUACAUGGGUAACGUACCCUUGAUACAGGGAUAGCCCGGGGAAACCCGGGGUAAUACCUGAUAAGACCACAGUCCCGCAGGGGACAGAGGUCAAAGGGCGGGGAUCCUUCGGGACCUGCCGAUCUUGGAGCGGCCCAUGUCCUAUCAGCUAGUUGGCGAGGUAACGGCUCACCAAGGCUUCGACGGGUACCGGGACUGAGACGUUGGCCCGGCACAUUGGCACUGAGACACUGGCCAGACUCCUACGGGAGGCUGCAGUAACGGAUAUUGGGCAAUGGGCGAAAGCCUGACCCAGCGACGCCGCGUGUGGGACGAAGUCCUUCGGGAUGUAAACCACUGUCAGGGGCUACCAAGCAAAGGGAGAUAAUAUUUCCCCGCGUUGAGGAGCCCCAGAGGAAGCCACGGCUAACUUCGUGCCAGCAGCCGCGGUAAGACGAAGGUGGCGAGCGUUGUUCGGAAUCACUGGGCUUAAAGAGCACGUAGGCGGGCCAUUUUGCGCCGUGUGAAAUCCCUUGGCUCAACCGAGGAACUGCAUGGCGAACGGAUGGUCUUGAGGCAGGUAAGGGUGCGGAGAACUCUUGGUGGAGCGGUGAAAUGCGUAGAUAUCAAGAGGAAUGCCGGAGACGAAGGUGCUGCACUGGGCCUGUCCUGACGCUGAGGUGCGAAAGCCAGGGGAGCAAACGGGAUUAGAUACCCCGGUAGUCCUGGCCCUAAACGAUGUCCACUAGGUCGGUGGUUCUCUGACGAAUUGCUGGCCGAAAUAAAAACGUUAAGUGGACCGCCUGGGGAGUACGGUCGCAAGGCUAAAACUCAAAGGAAUUGACGGGGGCUCACACAAGCGGUGGAGCAUGUUGCUCAAUUCGACAACGCGAAGAACCUUAUCCUGGGCUUGACAUGCACGGAUGCCUCUCCUGAAAGGGAAAAGGUUACCCUUCGGGGUGAAGCGUGCACAGGUGCUGCAUGGCUGUCGUCAGCUCGUGUCGUGAGAUGUCGGGUUAAGUCCCGUAACGAGCGAAACCCUUGUCGCUAAUUGCCAGCGGGUAAUGCCGGGAACUUUAGCGAGACUGCCGGUGUCAAACCGGAGGAAGGCGGGGAUGACGUCAAGUCCUCAUGGCCUUUAUGCCCAGGGCUGCAAACGUGCUACAAUGGCCGUGACAAACCGACGCAAGACCGCGAGGUGGAGCAAAUCGGAAAAAAACGGCCCCAGUUCGGAUUGGAGUCUGCAACCCGACUCCAUGAAGUUGGAAUCGCUAGUAAUCGCGGAUCAGCUACGCCGCGGUGAAUGUGUUCCUGAGCCUUGUACACACCGCCCGUCAAGUCAUGGGAGCCGGGAGCACCCGAAGUCG